UACACGCUGUGACUAGCAUAUCAAUAAGCGGAGGAAAAGAAACUAACAAGGAUUCCCCUAGUAACGGCGAGUGAAGCGGGAAGAGCUCAAAUUUGAAAUCUUAAAGGGUUUCCCUUUACGAAUUGUAGUUUAAAGAAGUGUUUUCUGUUGAGGUUUUGGUAAAAGUUCUUUGGAAUAGGACAUCAUAGAGGGUGAGAAUCCCGUAUUUGACCUUUACUUUCAACUUUGUGAUACACUUUCAAAGAGUCGGAUUGUUUGGGAAUGCAGUCCAAAAUGGGUGGUAAAUUUCAUCUAAAGCUAAAUAUUGGCGAGAGACCGAUAGCGAACAAGUACCGUGAGGGAAAGAUGAAAAGAACUUUGAAAAGAGAGUUAAACAGUACGUGAAAUUGUCAAAAGGGAAGCGUUUGACACCAGUGUUGUUUUUCUGAAAAUCAAUUAAAGAACUGUUUAUGCUAAGUUGUUUAGACUUUAUCAGCUAACUGUUUAGUUUUGAGCUUUUCUUUAAUGCACUUUUCAGUUAACAAGUCAACAUCAAUUUCUUUUGCUGUAAAAAAGCUUGAGGAAGGUGGCUUGAGAUUCGUCUUAAGUGUUUAUAGCCUCUUGCCUAUGCAGUCGGAGAGAUUGAGGUCUGCAGCGUAGAUCCUUCGGGGCUAAAUGCAUUUGUGCUAAGUUAUAGCAUUUCAUAGACAACUUGUUGACUAUGAUUUGUCUUGUAGCUUACUCGCUUAUGUUAUUUUACCUACGCUUAGGAUGUUGACAGCAGUAUAGACUGU
This 773-nucleotide ribosomal RNA is filed under the name uncultured Neocallimastigales. RNAcentral describes it as "partial large subunit ribosomal RNA". It matches the Rfam family "Eukaryotic large subunit ribosomal RNA", at positions 22 to 637 of the family's 3401-position model. The record is from RNAcentral. Lineage: Eukaryota; Fungi; Neocallimastigomycota; Neocallimastigomycetes; Neocallimastigales.